RNAcentral lists this ribosomal RNA (305 nucleotides) under uncultured bacterium. Its description in RNAcentral is "bacterial SSU rRNA". It matches the Rfam family "Bacterial small subunit ribosomal RNA", at positions 337 to 634 of the family's 1533-position model. The record is from RNAcentral.
GCCUACGGGGCGCAGCAGUAGGGAAUCUUCCACAAUGGGCGAAAGCCUGAUGGAGCAACGCCGCGUGGGUGAAGAAGGUCUUCGGAUCGUAAAACCCUGUUGUUAGAGAAGAAAGUGCGUGAGAGUAACUGUUCACGUUUCGACGGUAUCUAACCAGAAAGCCACGGCUAACUACGUGCCAGCAGCCGCGGUAAUACGUAGGUGGCAAGCGUUAUCCGGAUUUAUUGGGCGUAAAGGGAACGCAGGCGGUCUUUUAAGUCUGAUGUGAAAGUUUGCGGCUCAACCGUAAAAUUGCAGUUGAAACU